This 406-nucleotide ribosomal RNA is filed under the name uncultured bacterium. RNAcentral's name for it is "partial 16S ribosomal RNA". It matches the Rfam family "Bacterial small subunit ribosomal RNA", at positions 30 to 526 of the family's 1533-position model. The record is from RNAcentral.
AUUGAACGCUGGCGGCAGGCCUAACACAUGCAAGUCGAACGGGUGGCGGACGGGUGAGUAAUGUAUGGGAAACUGCCUGAUGGAGGGGGAUGAGUACUGGAAACGGUAGCUAAUACCGCAUACCAUCGGAUGUGCCCAGAUGGGAUUAGCUAGUGGGUGGGGUAAAGGCUCACCAAGGCGACGAUCCCUAGCUGGUCUGAGAGGAUGACCAGCCACACUGGAACUGAGAAACGGUCCAGACUCCUACGGGAGGCAGCAGUGGGGAAUAUUGCACAAUGGGCGAAAGCCUGAUGCAGCCAUGCCGCGUGUAUGAAGAAGGCCUUCGGGUUGUAAAGUACUUUCAGCGGGGAGGCGUUACCCGCAGAAGAAGCACCGGCUAACUCCGUGCCAGCAGCCGCGGUAAUUC